This 223-nucleotide ribosomal RNA is filed under the name Cepedea sp. Rr5. RNAcentral describes it as "partial 18S ribosomal RNA". It matches the Rfam family "Eukaryotic small subunit ribosomal RNA", at positions 1473 to 1658 of the family's 1831-position model. Lineage: Eukaryota; Bigyra; Opalinata; Opalinidae. The record is from RNAcentral.
UUAGAUGUUCUGGGCCGCACGUGUGACACAAUGAUAUAUUCAAUAAGUAUUAUUUAAUUAUUUUUAUUUUAUUUUAUAAAAUAAAAUUAAAAAUCUAGACUGUAGAGUUAUGAUAAUCUUAAAUAUAUAUCGUGUUUGGGAUUGAUGCUUGUAAUUAUUCAUCAUGAACGAGGAACACCUAGUAAGUGCAAGUCAUCAGCUUGCGCUGAAUACGUCCCUGCCC